CACGUAGGGUGCGAGCGUUGUCCGGAAUUAUUGGGCGUAAAGAGCUCGUAGGUGGUUUGUCGCGUUGUCCGUGAAAACUCACAACUCAAUUGUGGGCGUGCGGGCGAUACGGGCAGACUGGAGUACUGCAGGGGAGACUGGAAUUCCUGGUGUAGCGGUGAAAUGCGCAGAUAUCAGGAGGAACACCGGCGGCGAAGGCGGCACUCUGGGCCGGUACUGACGCUGAGGAGCGAAAGCGUGGGUAGCAAACAGG
This 253-nucleotide ribosomal RNA is filed under the name uncultured bacterium. RNAcentral's name for it is "partial 16S ribosomal RNA". It matches the Rfam family "Bacterial small subunit ribosomal RNA", at positions 524 to 776 of the family's 1533-position model. The record is from RNAcentral.